UUUCAAAGUGUGCGUAGAGUGUGGGAGGUUGGAUGAACUCCAGAAAAUUGACCAUGUGUGAGUCCAUGGGGCUGGGUGAAUUCCAGAAUGUUGUGUUGCAGAAAAACCACUUGUAAUCGUUUACAAGUGGCCGUAAACGAUUACCAGUGUCAAAUCUAGGAUUUUGACACAAACCUGAUCUGCAGGAUCCCCUGCAUGACACCCAGAGGACCAAGGUCACUCAUUUUGGUUUUUUUCAAGUUUUGAAAGGGUUAUGAGCUUCUAAUUGUGUGUACAGUGUGGGAGGUGUUGUUUGGACACCCCAAGAGGUCAUAAAAUUGACCAUGUGUGAGUCCAUGGGUCUGGGUGAAUUCCAUAUAGUUGUGGUGCA
Molecule: long non-coding RNA, 370 nt
Organism: Vigna radiata var. radiata (mung bean)
Lineage: Eukaryota; Viridiplantae; Streptophyta; Magnoliopsida; Fabales; Fabaceae
Exons: 2
Source: RefSeq, a predicted model, not a curated record